CAGCAGCCGCGGGAAUACGUAGGUGGCAAGCGUUGUCCGGAAUUACUGGGCGUAAAGGGCUCGCAGGCGGUUUCUUAAGUCUGAUGUGAAAGCCCCCGGCUCAACCGGGGAGGGUCAUUGGGAACUGGGAAACUUGAGUGCAGAAGAGGAGAGUGGAAUUCCACGUGUAGCGGUGAAAUGCGUAGAGAUGUGGAGGAACACCAGUGGCGAAGGCGACUCUCUGGUCUGUAACUGACGCUGAGGAGCGAAAGCGUGGGGAGCGAACAGGAUUAGAUACCCCCGUAGUCCCUGUCUCUUAUAC
This 301-nucleotide ribosomal RNA is filed under the name uncultured bacterium. RNAcentral describes it as "partial 16S ribosomal RNA". It matches the Rfam family "Bacterial small subunit ribosomal RNA", at positions 509 to 807 of the family's 1533-position model. The record is from RNAcentral.